GGUUCUUAAUGCAAGUCCAAUAAAAUUUAGAUUAAAAAGGAAGUUCGAAUAUUUGGAAGAUACUACUAAAGAUAAGUUAAAACGCAAGUAUGUUCGCCUAGAAAACUUAUUAAAUAAAAAAUUUGCGGAAGCUGUUGCUCCUGGACAAGAGGAAAUACUUAUAGAUUUUCUUAACAGUAAAAAUGUUGAUGAAAUAAAUAGCCCUCUCCCAAUUGAAAUUAUUCGUGCUCAGAAAGUAUAUAAGCAAAGUGAUUCCAUGGGAAAGUUAGUUAUACUCUCAUAACUAGCCAACAGAUAAGAUCUUUAUUAUCAAGGUAGGCAUUGUUGCUAUCAAAACUUUUGCAAAUUAGAUUAUGUUUCUGACUGUUAAAUAGUUCUUUUACAAAUAUGAAAUUAAAAUUUAGGUGAAAGUUAUAAUUUUGUGUGUUUGUUUACAUAUGUUUAAAAAUAUGUACAAUUGAUAUUGUUAUAGAUUUAGUAACCUGAAAAGAAAAGGUAAGCUGGUAGAACCGACAACAGAAAAUAAUGAUAAUAGUCAGGUUAACGAUAACAAAGAAGUUUAUGGCGAAAAUGAUGACUUUAAUCUGACAGGAGACAAUGAAGUUGAUAAUAAAUAUGAGGAAGACAUCGCCAAUCUUGCAAAAGAAAUUUGUCUUGUAUGGAAAGUGAAUGAUUGGGUUGCUGUUGUAUAUGAAAAACAAUGGAAUAUUGGAUAUAUUGUGGAGGUAUCUAUAACUGGGAUCAUAGUUAAUUGUAUGAUUAACGGGCAAGAGAAGAAUACUUUUCGCUGGCCAGUUACUACUGAGGAGAUAAAUAACCAAACUGAUAAAAUUAUCUGUUUAGUAAAUGCUCCUUUUCGAAUCAGUGGUUGUGGCGAUUAUUCAUUAUCCGAAGAAGACUAUAAUACAGUCAUAUCAUUAUUCUUAGAGAAACUUACUGCAGCAGAGUAGAAAUUAUGUGUGAUGUGGUGGAUAAUGUGUGUAAAUGACUCUAUUAAUAAAUGAAAAACUAAUUUUUAAAUGGAAAAACAUUUAAAUGUUUGAUUUAUGUUUUAUUUAAUUAGCAAUAUAGUUAUCUUGAUGUUA
This is a non-coding RNA of Hydra vulgaris (swiftwater hydra), 1085 nucleotides long. The record is from RefSeq and is a predicted model, not a curated record. NCBI's taxonomy places the organism in Eukaryota, Metazoa, Cnidaria, Hydrozoa, Anthoathecata, Hydridae.